AGCGAACGCUGGCGGCAGGCCUAACACAUGCAAGUCGAACGAACAUUUCUGUUUUAGUGGCGUACGGGUGCGUAACACGUGGGAUCGUGUCUUUAGGUUCGGCAUACCUCAGGGAAAUUUGUGCUAAUACCGAAUGUGCCCUUCGGGGGAAAGAUUUAUCGCCUUUAGUGCGGCCCGCGUCUGCUUCGCUAGUUGGUUCAGGUAAUGUCUCACCAAGGCGACGAUCAGUAGCUGGUCUGAGAGGAAAGACAGCCAAAUUGGCACAGAGACACGGCCAAAAAGCCUACGAGAAGAAGGAGUGCCAAAUGGUGCGUAAUCGACGGAAGCAUGACGGAGUCCUGCGGGGUGAAUGUUGAAAGGAUUAGGAAUGAAAAAUUAUUUCAACGGGGGAGAUAAUGACGGUACCCAGAGAAGAAGCCCCGGCUAACUUCGUG
RNAcentral lists this ribosomal RNA (434 nucleotides) under uncultured bacterium. RNAcentral's name for it is "partial 16S ribosomal RNA". It matches the Rfam family "Bacterial small subunit ribosomal RNA", at positions 29 to 507 of the family's 1533-position model. The record is from RNAcentral.